GCAAUAACAAAAGGUGGAAGCGAAAGUCAAAGCCCGGUGUAGAAAGCUUCUUGAUAUAAACAGAAGCAGUCGGGAGGAGGAGUGCUAGCCCGACCAGUCAGUCCAGGAAGCUCCAGCUCGUACUCCAGAGGAACCCCAUACGGAAUCCUAAUCAGUGAGAGUUCCUCUGGAGUUAGAGAGCUAGGGAUGGUGUCUGGUACAA
This 202-nucleotide long non-coding RNA is filed under the name Elaeis guineensis (African oil palm). RNAcentral describes it as "long non-coding RNA (EGUI_LNC064373)". Lineage: Eukaryota; Viridiplantae; Streptophyta; Magnoliopsida; Arecales; Arecaceae. The record is from RNAcentral.